CCUACGGGAGGCAGCAGUAGGGAAUCUUCCGCAAUGGACGAAAGUCUGACGGAGCGACGCCGCGUGAGUGAUGAAGGUCUUCGGAUCGUAAAACUCUGUUGUUAGGGAAGAAUAAGUAUAAGGCGAAUAACCUUAUACCUUGACGGUACCCAACCAGAGAGCCCCGGCUAACUACGUGCCAGCAGCCGCGGUAAU
This 195-nucleotide ribosomal RNA is filed under the name uncultured bacterium. RNAcentral describes it as "partial 16S ribosomal RNA". It matches the Rfam family "Bacterial small subunit ribosomal RNA", at positions 338 to 524 of the family's 1533-position model. The record is from RNAcentral.